This 85-nucleotide transfer RNA is filed under the name Felis catus (domestic cat). It matches the Rfam family "tRNA". From Rfam's summary of the family: Transfer RNA (tRNA) molecules are approximately 80 nucleotides in length. Their secondary structure includes four short double-helical elements and three loops (D, anti-codon, and T loops). Further hydrogen bonds mediate the characteristic L-shaped molecular structure. tRNAs have two regions of fundamental functional importance: the anti-codon, which is responsible for specific mRNA codon recognition, and the 3' end, to which the tRNAs corresponding amino acid is attached (by aminoacyl-tRNA synthetases). tRNAs cope with the degeneracy of the genetic code in two manners: having more than one tRNA (with a specific anti-codon) for a particular amino acid; and 'wobble' base-pairing, i.e. permitting non-standard base-pairing at the 3rd anti-codon position. The record is from Rfam by way of RNAcentral. Lineage: Eukaryota; Metazoa; Chordata; Mammalia; Carnivora; Felidae.
GCCUGGGUGGCUCAGUCGGUUGAGCGUCUGACUUCGGCUCAGGUCACGAUCUCACAGUUUGUGAGUUCGAGCCCCGCGUCGGGCU